GCUGUGAUGGCCGAGAGGUUAAGGCGUUGGAUUCGAAAUCCAAUGGGGUUCGAACCCUGCUCACAGCG
Molecule: non-coding RNA, 68 nt
Organism: Oncorhynchus masou masou (cherry salmon)
Lineage: Eukaryota; Metazoa; Chordata; Actinopteri; Salmoniformes; Salmonidae
Source: the annotation of a RefSeq genome assembly